UAACGAUGGUUAAGAAACCCUAUUACUGCCCUGGAAACCCUAAUUUCAGUUCCGGAAAUUCAAAACCCUAAUUCAGAAGUUGAAAACCCUAAUUUAGGGGCUUAAAGGCUUAAGUGUAUUAAUUACAAACCUAAUUAGGGAUAACCUUAAUUGAUUAUUAGAAAACCCUAAUUUCUGGAUUAGAAACCCUAAUCUAUAAUUAAGGAAAACCUAAUUGUUAAUUUAAUAAUUUUAAUGUUAAUUAAAAAAUAUUGAUCCUAAUUAACAAGCCCUAAUGUGAUUAGGGAAUCUUUAAUAUAAUUAGGAAACCCUAAUUAUAAUUUAGAAAUCUUAAUUUUCUAUUUUUUUUUAAAAUAAUAAUUUUAAUAACCUUAGGGUUAAACCCUAAGGGUCUGUUUGCACAAGUUACUAGAAUGCCCUUAAAAAUGUAUGCAAAAAGUCUAAAAAGCCCUUUGUUGCAUUAUUGAAGGUAGCUUGCAAUUAUUGCCAUAUAAGGGAGUUGGUGGCCAACCUAGAUCAGUCCAUGUGUCUUAAAAUCUCCAACAUUAGCCUCUUUACAUCAGCCACAUUAUUGAAUCAAAUUAUUUAUAGAUCAAAGAGAGAAAAAGUCAACAAAUCUUGAUCACUUGCUAUUUUAUACUCAACAAACUCUCUCUCUCUCUCUAGACCCACGAAAUCAAUUAGUAAUUCAGUCCCUAGAAUGAUACAUAUCAUCUCAAGAACAGAUCAUGAUGAUCAAAUUCAAGGAUCAAAGCCUAAAGAGGUAUAAACCCUAAAUUUGCUAAAACUUGUUAGAUGUUAUGAUUUAUUAUUUUAAGUUGUAUUUUAGGAUGUUAUUUAGUGAUAUGGGUUGUUACAUCUUAGAUCCAUAACAUCAAAGUGCUCGAAAAUCAAAUUUUCAAAAACCUAAAAAAGUUGUCUGACAACCUAAUGUCAGGGCUGCUAGAUUAGUGUGUGUUAGGUGUUAUGUGUGUUUUAUGUUAUGGAUCUGUUCUAUGCCAUGUAGUCUUUGAUCUGAAACUUGAAUCAGGGUUAGAUCGUCUCUAGAUUUCAUGUUAUAAGCGGUCAAACCUCGUUGACCGGUAACGAAAUUUGCUUUCUGAGCAGCCUAGAAAUUUCCAGGUAGCUCUGAGAAGUUGUUUAUGGCUUUUGAUCUUGCAACUGUUAAGGUUAAUGUCCAUAUUUGUGUAUAUAUCUUGUAGUCUGACAUUAAUACUACACAUCUAAGCCCUUAUACCAACCAGAUCUUGCACAUGAUCAAAGAUAUGACUGGUCAAACAUAGGUUGACCAAACUGCUCAAGAACAUUUCUAGAAAACCGAGAAAUGUUCAAGAGCAAGUUUUCUGACAUGGUUUGACAAUGCCAUAUCUUGCACAUGUGAUGAUAUUAUGAUGGUCUGUUGAUACAGAGUUUUUCUUUGACAUCUCUACUACAUGUUGGAACCUUUAAGGCACACUAAGUAUACCGAGAUUACAAGAUAUGUAGAUCCAAAGUAGGUACCAGGAAUUAUUCUUCAUUUCUAGGUAACCCAGAAAUGAAGAACAUGUCUGACACGAUAUUUGUAUCCUUGUAUCGUUUUGAUGUGUUGUUGUAUGGACCUGAAAUUGGCUGGUUAUUGUAGUAUGACAUCGAUACUACAUGUUUAACACAUCAAACGGCCCAGAAACAUAAACAACAAAGAAUUUACCACUGGUCAAACUAGCCACCUAGUUAAUUGCCAUGAAUUUCUGGGUUUUGGCUCAAGAACACGAAGAACAC
This 1758-nucleotide long non-coding RNA is filed under the name Panax ginseng (ginseng). RNAcentral describes it as "long non-coding RNA (PGIN_LNC003674)". The record is from RNAcentral. Lineage: Eukaryota; Viridiplantae; Streptophyta; Magnoliopsida; Apiales; Araliaceae.